This 171-nucleotide long non-coding RNA is filed under the name Fukomys damarensis (Damara mole-rat). RNAcentral describes it as "lncRNA (ENSFDAG00000029143.1)". The record is from RNAcentral. Lineage: Eukaryota; Metazoa; Chordata; Mammalia; Rodentia; Bathyergidae.
AUGAAUUUUUCUGACGUUGAGAAAACUAAGAGACUUGCCAACCUUGUUAUGGUUGUUCUGACUUCUAAAAGGAGAGAGCUUGACCUAUCAGGACCAAAACCUUCAAAUCCAAAGAGAGUCAAAGAACUGGGCAAUUUAGCCAUGUUUUCUAUGAAAUCUUCUCCCAAAUAA